Molecule: ribosomal RNA, 253 nt
Filed under: uncultured bacterium
Lineage: Bacteria
Description: partial 16S ribosomal RNA
Rfam family: Bacterial small subunit ribosomal RNA
Source: RNAcentral
UACGUAGGGCGCAAGCGUUAUCCGGAAUUAUUGGGCGUAAAGAGCUCGUAGGCGGUUUGUCGCGUCUGCUGUGAAAGACCGGGGCUCAACUCCGGUUCUGCAGUGGGUACGGGCAGACUAGAGUGCAGUAGGGGAGACUGGAAUUCCUGGUGUAGCGGUGAAAUGCGCAGAUAUCAGGAGGAACACCGAUGGCGAAGGCAGGUCCCUGGGCUGUAACUGACGCUGAGGAGCGAAAGCAUGGGGAGCGAACAGG